RNAcentral lists this ribosomal RNA (497 nucleotides) under uncultured bacterium. RNAcentral's name for it is "partial 16S ribosomal RNA". It matches the Rfam family "Bacterial small subunit ribosomal RNA", at positions 28 to 507 of the family's 1533-position model. The record is from RNAcentral.
GAUGAACGCUGGCGGCGUGCCUAAUACAUGCAAGUCGAGCGAACAGAUGAGGAGCUUGCUCCUCUGACGUUAGCGGCGGACGGGUGAGUAACACGUGGAUAACCUACCUAUAAGACUGGGAUAACUUCGGGAAACCGGAGCUAAUACCGGAUAAUAUAUUGAACCGCAUGGUUCAAUAGUGAAAGACGGUUUUGCUGUCACGUAUAGAUGGAUCCGCGCCGCAUUAGCUAGUUGGUAAGGUAACGGCUUACCAAGGCAACGAUGCGUAGCCGACCUGAGAGGGUGAUCGGCCACACUAGAACUGAGACACGGUCCAGACUCCUACGGGAGGCAGCAGUAGGGAAUCUUCCGCAAUGGGCGAAAGCCUGACGGAGCAACGCCACGUGAGUGAUGAAGGUCUUCGGAUCGUAAAACUCUGUUAUUAGGGAAGAACAAAUGUGUAAGUAACUAUGCACGUCUUGACGGUACCUAAUCAGAAAGCCACGGCUAACUCCGUG